RNAcentral lists this long non-coding RNA (345 nucleotides) under Olea europaea subsp. europaea. Lineage: Eukaryota; Viridiplantae; Streptophyta; Magnoliopsida; Lamiales; Oleaceae. The record is from RNAcentral.
UUUUAAUAACAAAAUGGUCUUUAACAAUUUAGAUUCACACACCAAGAACACUAAUCAAUUAAAGUAUUGUGCUAUUCUACUUGGGAGGCCACAAAAAAUAGCUUUGUAUUAUCUAACUUCUAAUAAAAAGGUGAAUAGGAUGCAACUGUAGAUACAAUAGUAAAGCAAUCCUAUUUUACUGUUCACUAUAUUUUCCCUAUUUUAAAAAAAAAAAUUCUUUGUUGCGACCAUGUCGACAACCAUGUUAACCGUACUUCCACGACCAUACUCCUUAUUUUCCUUUUUAUUGAUAUCUUCAUUUUUAAUUUUUUUUUUUCAUUUUGGUGAAUUCUGUUUUUAUUGGAC